GGCUUGUCCAAUGGUAGUGGGUUAUCAGAACUUAUUAACAUUAGUGUCACUAAAGUUGGUAUACAACCCCCACUGCUAAAUUUGACUGGCUUUAA
This 95-nucleotide Y RNA is filed under the name Aotus nancymaae (Ma's night monkey). Its description in RNAcentral is "Y RNA (ENSANAG00000014425.1)". It matches the Rfam family "Y RNA". From Rfam's summary of the family: Y RNAs are components of the Ro ribonucleoprotein particle (Ro RNP), in association with Ro60 and La proteins. The Y RNAs and Ro60 and La proteins are well conserved, but the function of the Ro RNP is not known. The record is from Rfam by way of RNAcentral. Lineage: Eukaryota; Metazoa; Chordata; Mammalia; Primates; Aotidae.